RNAcentral lists this ribosomal RNA (282 nucleotides) under Triticum aestivum (bread wheat). RNAcentral describes it as "partial small subunit ribosomal RNA". The record is from RNAcentral. Lineage: Eukaryota; Viridiplantae; Streptophyta; Magnoliopsida; Poales; Poaceae.
CUCUCGCUGGCGGGGCGUAGAGUCCUUGUGAGAUGCGUCCUCUCCGUCGUGCCAACCUUUGCCAUAUCUGUGUUGCGGAAGCCGAAGAAGUUUUUAAAGGAGAUCGACAAGGUCAGGCGACGUUUCUUGUGGACGCAAGACGAAGAGAUCAGCGGCGGAAAGUGCAAGGUUGCAUGGAGGACAGUGACCACACUAGAGGCCAAGGGCGGACUGGGCAUCCAUGACCUCUCAGCCUUCGCCCGAGACCUGCGUCUACGCUGGCUCUGGCUAAGUUGGGAUGAC